RNAcentral lists this ribosomal RNA (294 nucleotides) under Heyndrickxia oleronia. RNAcentral describes it as "partial 16S ribosomal RNA". It matches the Rfam family "Bacterial small subunit ribosomal RNA", at positions 1000 to 1294 of the family's 1533-position model. The record is from RNAcentral. Lineage: Bacteria; Bacillati; Bacillota; Bacilli; Caryophanales; Bacillaceae.
CUAGAGAUAGGGAUUUCCCUUCGGGGACAGGAGUGACAGGUGGUGCAUGGUUGUCGUCAGCUCGUGUCGUGAGAUGUUGGGUUAAGUCCCGCAACGAGCGCAACCCUUGACCUUAGUUGCCAGCAUUCAGUUGGGCACUUUAAGGUGACUGCCGGUGACAAACCGGAGGAAGGUGGGGAUGACGUCAAAUCAUCAUGCCCCUUAUGACCUGGGCUACACACGUGUUACAAUGGAUGGUACAAAGGGCUGCAAGACCGCGAGGUUUAGCCAAUCCCAUAAAACCAUUUUCAGUUC